Molecule: ribosomal RNA, 891 nt
Filed under: Geastrum triplex
Lineage: Eukaryota; Fungi; Basidiomycota; Agaricomycetes; Geastrales; Geastraceae
Description: LSU rRNA
Rfam family: Eukaryotic large subunit ribosomal RNA
Source: RNAcentral
AAGGGGGAGGGAAAAGAAACUAACAAGGAUUCCCCCUAGUAACGGCGAGUGAAGAGGGAAAAGCUCAAAUUUAAAAUCUGGCGGUCUACGGCCGUCCGAGUUGUAAUCUAGAGAAGUGUUUUCCGCGCUGGACCGUGUACAAGUCCUUUGGAACAAGGCGUCAUAGAGGGUGAGAAUCCCGUCUACGACACGGACUGCCAAGCGCUUUGUGAUACACUCUCAACGAGUCGAGUUGUUUGGGAAUGCAGCUCAAAAUGGGUGGUAAAUUCCAUCUAAAGCUAAAUAUUGGCGAAAGACCGAUAGCGAACAAGUACCGUGAGGGAAAGAUGAAAAGCACUUUGGAAAGAGAGUUAAACAGUACGUGAAAUUGUUGAAAGGGAAACGCUUGAAGUCAGUCGCGUCUUCAGAAAUUCAGCUGGGCUUCUGCCUAGUGUACUUUUCUGUGGGACGGGCCAGCAUCAGUUUUGGCUGCCAGAAAAAGGUCGGAGGAAGGUGGCACCUCCGGGUGUGUUAUAGCCUCUGAUCGUAUGUGGCAGCCGGGAUUGAGGACCGCAGCACGCCUUUAUGGCCGGGGUUCGCCCACGUAACGUGCUUAGGAUGCUGGCGUAAUGGCUUUAAACGACCCGUCUUGAAACACGGACCAAGGAGUCUAACAUGCCUGCGAGUAUUUGGGUGGCAAACCCAUAUGCGGAAUGAAAGUGAACAGUUGGGACUUCUGUCAUGGAAGGCACCGACGCCCGGACCAGACCUAUUGUGACGGAUCCGAGGUAGAGCAUGUAUGUUGGGACCCGAAAGAUGGUGAACUAUGCCUGAGUAGGGUGAAGCCAGAGGAAACUCUGGUGGAGGCUCGUAGCGAUUCUGACGUGCAAAUCGAUCGUCGAACUUGGGUAU